RNAcentral lists this ribosomal RNA (453 nucleotides) under uncultured bacterium. RNAcentral describes it as "SSU rRNA". It matches the Rfam family "Bacterial small subunit ribosomal RNA", at positions 26 to 518 of the family's 1533-position model. The record is from RNAcentral.
AGGAUGAACGCUGGCGGCGUGCCUAAAACAUGCAAGUCAUACGGUCUACCUUCGGGUAGACAGUGGCAAACGGGUGAGUAACACGUGGGAACACGCCUUCGAGUGGGGAAUAACGCUGAGAAAUCAGUGCUAAUACCGCAUAUGGUCUAACGACUAAAGCAGUAAUGCGCUCGGAGAGUGGCCCGCGUCCGAUUAGCUAGUUGGUGGGGUAAUGGCCUACCAAGGCGGUGAUCGGUAGCUGGUCUGAGAGGAUGGUCAGCCACACUGGGACUGCGAACGGCCCAGACUCCUACGGGAGGCAGCAGUUAGGAAUUUUCGGCAAUGGACGAAAGUCUGACCGAGCGACGCCGCGUGGAGGACGAAGCCGUUUCGGGGUGUAAACUCCGUUUUCUGCGGGAAGAUAAUGACGGUACCGCAGGAAUAAGCACCGGCUAACUACGUGCCAGCAGCCGC